CUAAGCGUAUACGGGCGCACGAUGGAUGCCUUGGCAUCAGGAGGCUAUGAAGGACGCGGAAGACUGCGAUAAGCUUCGGGGAGCCGUCAACAGGCUUUGAUCCGGAGAUCUCCGAAUGGGGCAACCCGACCACCUUCAUCGGUGGCCAUUCACGGAUAAAUUCAUAGUCCGUGGAAGCGACACCCAGGGAAGUGAAACAUCUCAGUACCUGGAGGAAAAGAAAUCUAUGACAUUGCGUAAGUAGUGGCGAGCGAAAGCGCAGGAGCCCAAACCGAAGAGCUUGCUCUUCGGGGUUGCGGGACUCGGACGUGGUACGAGGACGGUUAGGCCGAUCCGCUGGAAAGCGGAGCCAUAGCGGGUGAAAGCCCCAUGGCCGAAAGCCCGACUCGACCUACGAGGAUCCCAAUUAGGACGGUGCACGUGAAACGCCGUCUGAAUCCGGGGGGACCACCCUCCAAGGCUAAAUACUCCCUGAUGACCGAUAGUGAACAAGUACCGCGAGGGAAAGGCGAAAAGAACCGCUGCUAGCGGAGUGAAACAGACCUGAAAUCGUGUGUCCACAAGCUAUGGAAGCGUCGCAAGACGCGACCGUUUGCCUUUUGCAUAAUGAGUCCGCGAGUCACCGUAGCGAGCGAGCCUAACCGAAAGGGGAGGCGAAGCGAAAGCGAGUCCGAACAGGGCGUUUAGUUCGUUGCGGUGGACCCGAAGCCCAUGUGAGCUAUCCUUGGACAGCGUGAAGCCUCCGUAACAGGAGGUGGAGGUGCGAACGAGUGACCGUUGAAAAGGUCUUCGAUGAGCUGAGGAUUGGAGCGAAAGACUUAUCAAACUGGGUAAUAGCUGGUUCUCUCCGAAAUGCCUUUAGGGGCAGCCUCGGACAAUACUUCCAGCGGGUGUAGAGCACUGAUCGAUCUAGGGCCCCUACCGGGGUACCGAAGUCCGUCAAACUCCGAAGACCGCUGCGACUGCAUAUCCGGGAGUGAGACAGUGGGGGCUAAGCUUCAUUGUCGAAAGGGAAACAGCCCAAGACCGCCGAAUAAGGUCCCAAAUGCACGUUAAGUCACUAAGGCAGUGAAGUCUCUCAGACAGGUAGGAUGUUGGCUUAGAGGCAGCCAUCAUUUAAACAGUGCGUAACAGCUGACUACUCGAGAGACUCCGCGCCGAAAAUGAUCGGGAGUAAACGUGCAACCGAAUUCGCGGGCCGAUGCUUUGCAUCGACGGUAGGAGAGCGUAGUACGACGGGCUGAAGCGGUGCGCGGAAGCGGCCGUGGACUUCGUACUAGUGAUUAUGCGGACAUGAGUAACGAAAAACCGUGUGAAAAUCACGGUCGCCGGAAUCCCAAGGCUUCCCGGGGCAGGUUCGUCCGCCCGGGGUCAGUCGGCACCUAAGGCGAGGCCGAAAGGCGUAGUCGAUGGACAGCAGGUUAAUAUUCCUGCACCGGUGGGGGUUUAAGUUUGGCUUGGAGAAGGACAGUGACGAGGGUUAAUGGCUAUCCCUUGUACGGCCCGGAAGGGCCGGACCGAGCUGCGGUUCGCCGCGGCAAGGCCAUGCGUCCAUGCUUCCUAGAAAAGGCCUUACGUAUUAACCCGCCGGCCGUACCAAAACCGACACAGGUGGGAGGGUACAAAGAUACCAAGGCGCGCGAGAGAAACCUCGUUAAGGAACUCGGCAACAUAGCCCCGUAACUUCGGGAGAAGGGGUCCUCCAGGGCAAUGCCUGGAGGCGCAGUAAAUGGGCCCAUGCGACUGUUUAACAAAAACAUAGCACUCUGCAAACACGCAAGUGGACGUAUAGAGUGUGACACGUGACCAAUGCGGAAAGGUCAAGGCAAGGGGUCAGCCGCAAGGCGAAGCUCCGAACCAAAGCCCCCGUGAAUGUCGGCCGUAACUAUAACGGUCCUAAGGUAGCGAAAUUCCUUGUCGGGCAAGUUCCGACCUGCACGAAUCGUGUAACGAUAUGGGCGCUGUCUCAACGAGGAUCUCGGUGAAGUUGUAGUGCCGGUGAAAAUGCCGGAUACCCGCAGAAGGACGGAAAGACCCCAUGAACCUUUACUGUAUCCUGGUACUGGAUUCUGGUCAGUUGUAUGUAGCAUAGCCGGGAGGCUUCGAAGCGGUUUCGUCAGGAACCGUGGAGCCGCAAUGUGAAAUACCGGUUUCAGCUGGGCGGGGUUCUAACCGCGAGCCCUCAUCGGGCCGCGGAACAAUGCCAGGGGGUCAGUUUGACUGGGGCGGUUUCCUCCCAAAUAGUAACGGAGGAGUUCGAAGGUACACUCAGUGCGGUCAGCAAUCGCACGUCGAGCGCAAGGGUAGAAGUGUGCCUCACUGCGAGACGGACACGUCGAGCAGACGCGAAAGCGGGACCUAGUGAUCCGGCGGUAGCUUGUGGAAGCGCCGUCGCUCAACGGAUAAAAGGUACUCUGGGGAUAACAGGCUGAUCGCGGCCGAGAGUUCACAUCGACGCCGCGGUUUGGCACCUCGAUGUCGGCUCUUCGCAUCCUGGGGCUGGAGAAUGUCCCAAGGGUUUGGCUGUUCGCCAAUUAAAGCGGAACGCGAGCUGGGUUCAAAACGUCGUGAGACAGUUUGGUCCUUAUCCUCUGUGGGCGCAGGAAAAUUGAGGGGAACAUUCCCUAGUACGAGAGGACCGGGAAUGACUUACCAAUGGUGUUUCGGUUGUCGCGCCAGCGGCAGGCCGGGUAGCUAUGUAGGGAACGGAUAAGCGCUGAAAGCAUCUAAGCGCCAAGCCUCCCCCAAGACAAGUUUUCCCAGCAGCAAUGCUCUGAAGUCAGGUUGUAGACCACGACCUCGAUAGGCCGAAGGUGUAAGCGCAGCGAUGCGUUGAGCUGAUCGGUACUAAUAAGACGUGCGGCUUAGCUUA
This 2872-nucleotide ribosomal RNA is filed under the name pig gut metagenome. RNAcentral's name for it is "bacterial LSU rRNA". It matches the Rfam family "Bacterial large subunit ribosomal RNA". The record is from RNAcentral.